GACGAACGCUGGCGGCGUGCUUAACACAUGCAAGUCGAACGGAAAGGCCCUGCUUUUGUGGGGUGCUCGAGUGGCGAAGGGGUGAGUAAAACGUGAGUAACCUGCCCUUGACUUUGGGAUAACAUCAGGAAACUGGGGAUAAUACCGGAUAGGAGCUCCUGCUGCAUGGUGGGGGUUGGAAAGUUUCGGCGGUUGUGGAUGGACUCGCGGCUUAUCAGCUUGUUGGUGGGGUAGUGACGUACCAAGGCUUUGACGGGUAGCCGGCCUGAGAGGGUGACCGGCGACAUUGGGACUACGGUACGGCGCAGACUCCUACGUUAGGCAGUAGUGGGGAAUAUUGCACAGUAGGCCGAAGCCUGAUGCGGCAGCGCCGCGUGCGUGAUGACGGCCUUCGGGUGGUAAACCGCUUUCUCCGUUGACGAGGCGUGAUUGACGGUAAUGGGUAAAGAAGCACCGGCUAACUACGUG
Molecule: ribosomal RNA, 468 nt
Filed under: uncultured bacterium
Lineage: Bacteria
Description: partial 16S ribosomal RNA
Rfam family: Bacterial small subunit ribosomal RNA
Source: RNAcentral